Molecule: ribosomal RNA, 253 nt
Filed under: uncultured bacterium
Lineage: Bacteria
Description: partial 16S ribosomal RNA
Rfam family: Bacterial small subunit ribosomal RNA
Source: RNAcentral
UACGUAGGGGGCAAGCGUUGUCCGGAUUUACUGGGCGUAAAGAGCGCGCAGGCGGUCGUAUAAGUCGCGUGUGAAAGCCCCCGGCUCAACUGGGGAGGGUCACGCGAUACUGUUCGACUCGAAGGCAGGAGAGGGAAGUGGAAUUCCCGGUGUAGUGGUGAAAUGCGUAGAUAUCGGGAGGAACACCAGUGGCGAAGGCGACUUCCUGGCCUGUUCUUGACGCUGAGGCGCGAAAGCUAGGGUAGCAAACGGG